RNAcentral lists this ribosomal RNA (492 nucleotides) under uncultured bacterium. RNAcentral's name for it is "partial 16S ribosomal RNA". It matches the Rfam family "Bacterial small subunit ribosomal RNA", at positions 29 to 507 of the family's 1533-position model. The record is from RNAcentral.
AGUGAACGCUGGCGGUAGGCCUAACACAUGCAAGUCGAGCGGCAGCACAGUAAGAGCUUGCUCUUACGGGUGGCGAGUGGCGGACGGGUGAGGAAUACAUCGGCAUCUACUUUUUCGUAGGGGAUAACGCAGGGGAAAUUACGCCAAAACCGCAUACGACCUACGGGUGGAAGCCGGGGAUCUUCGGACCUUACGUGAUUGUAUGAGCCGAUGUCGGAUUAGCUAGUUGGCGGGGUAAAGGCCCACCAAGGCGACGAUCCGUAGCUGGUCUGAGAGGAUGAUCAGCCACACUGGAACUGAGACGCGGUCCAGACUCCUACGGGAGGCAGCAGUGGGGAAUAUUGGACAAUGGGCGCAAGCCUGAUCCAGCCAUACCGCGUGGGUGAAGAAGGCCUUCGGGUUGUAAAGCCCUUUUGUUGGGAAAGAAAAGCAGCAGGUUAAUACCCUGCUGUUCUGACGGUACCCAAAGAAUAAGCACCGGCUAACUUCGUG